AUUGAACGCUGGCGGCAGGCCUAACACAUGCAAGUCGAGCGGAUGAAGGGAGCUUGCUCCUGGAUUCAGCGGCGGACGGGUGAGUAAUGCCUAGGAAUCUGCCUGGUAGUGGGGGAUAACGUCCGGAAACGGGCGCUAAUACCGCAUACGUCCUGAGGGAGAAAGGGGGGGAUCUUCGGACCUCACGCUAUCAGAUGAGCCUAGGUCGGAUUAGCUAGUUGGUAGGGUAAAGGCCUACCAAGGCGACGAUCCGUAACUGGUCUGAGAGGAUGAUCAGUCACACUGGAACUGAGACACGGUCCAGACUCCUACGGGAGGCAGCAGUGGGGAAUAUUGGACAAUGGGCGAAAGCCUGAUCCAGCCAUGCCGCGUGUGUGAAGAAGGUCUUCGGAUUGUAAAGCACUUUAAGUUGGGAGGAAGGGCAGUAAGUUAAUACCUUGCUGUUUUGACGUUACCAACAGAAUAAGCACCGGCUAACUUCGUG
This 484-nucleotide ribosomal RNA is filed under the name uncultured bacterium. Its description in RNAcentral is "partial 16S ribosomal RNA". It matches the Rfam family "Bacterial small subunit ribosomal RNA", at positions 30 to 507 of the family's 1533-position model. The record is from RNAcentral.